GACGAACGCUGGCGGCGUGCUUAACACAUGCAAGUCGAACGGAAAGGCCCUGCUUUUGUGGGGUGCUCGAGUGGCGAACGGGUGAGUAACACGUGAGUAACCUGCCCUUGACUUUGGGAUAACUUCAGGAAACUGGGGCUAAUACCGGAUAGGAGCUCCUGCUGCACGGUGGGGGUUGGAAAGUUUCGGCGGUUGGGGAUGGACUCGCGGCUUGUCAGCUUGUUGGUGGGGUAGUGGCUUACCAAGGCUUUGACGGGUAGCCGGCCUGAGAGGGUGACCGGCCACAUGAGGACUGAGAUACGGCGCAGACGCCUACGGGAGGCAGCAGUGGGGAAUAUUGCACAGUGGGCGCAAGCCUGAUGCAGCAACGCCGCGAGCGGGAUAACGGCCUUCGGGUUGUGAACCGCUGUCUCCUGUGACGAAGCGUGAGUGACGGUAAUGGGUAAAGAAGCACCGGCUAACUACGUG
This 468-nucleotide ribosomal RNA is filed under the name uncultured bacterium. Its description in RNAcentral is "partial 16S ribosomal RNA". It matches the Rfam family "Bacterial small subunit ribosomal RNA", at positions 28 to 507 of the family's 1533-position model. The record is from RNAcentral.